Arvicola amphibius (Eurasian water vole) is the source of this 372-nucleotide non-coding RNA. NCBI's taxonomy places the organism in Eukaryota, Metazoa, Chordata, Mammalia, Rodentia, Cricetidae. The record is from the annotation of a RefSeq genome assembly.
AUGGAGUGGAGCUGGAUAACUUUCUUCCUCAUGUCACUAACUGCAGGUGUUCACUCCCAGGAUCAGCUGCAGCAGUCUGGACCUGAGCUUGUGAGGCCUGGGAGCUCAGUGAAAUUGUCCUGCAGGGCCUCUGAUGGUAUCGAUUAUUACUUUAUUCACUGGUUGAAGCAGAGGCCUGGACAAGGCCUGGAGUGGAUUGGAAGGAUUGAUCCUGAAAAUGGUAAUACUAAAUACAAUCAGAAAUUCCAGAGCAAGGCCACACUGACUGCAGACACAUCCUCCAGCACAGCCUACAUGAAUCUGAGAAGCCUGACAUCUGAAGACUCUGCAGUCUAUUACUGUGUAAGACACAGUGUUGCAAUCACAUACUGA